CCUACGGGAGGCAGCAGUGGGGAAUAUUGGGCAAUGGAGGACACGCUGACCCAGCAACGCCGCGUGAAUGAUGAAGGUCUUCGGAUUGUAAAGUUCUUUUCUAAGGGAAGAAGAUAGUGACGGUACCUUAGGAAUAAGCCUCGGCUAACGACGUGCCAGCAGCCGCGGUAAUACGGAGGAGGCAAGCGUUAGCCGGAAUGACUGGGCGUAAAGGGUGCGUAGGGGGUUUAACAAGUUAGUAGCGUAACUCCGGAGCUCAACCUCGGCACGAUUACCAAAACUGUCGGACUUGAGUGCAGGAGGGGCAAAUGGAAUUCCUGGUGUAGCGGUAGAAUGCGUAGAUAUUAGGAGGAACACCAGUGGCGAAGGCGAUUUGCUGGACUGUAACUGACACUGAGGCACGAAAGCGUGGGGAGCAAACAGGAUUAGAUACCCGAGUAGUC
This 443-nucleotide ribosomal RNA is filed under the name uncultured bacterium. RNAcentral's name for it is "partial 16S ribosomal RNA". It matches the Rfam family "Bacterial small subunit ribosomal RNA", at positions 338 to 795 of the family's 1533-position model. The record is from RNAcentral.